Molecule: long non-coding RNA, 1340 nt
Organism: Odontomachus brunneus
Lineage: Eukaryota; Metazoa; Arthropoda; Insecta; Hymenoptera; Formicidae
Exons: 3
Source: RefSeq, a predicted model, not a curated record
AAUCAGGUCCGAACGUACUCGGACAUAUCUAAACGUAACGGCUUUCCAACAGGAAUCUAAAAAUUUGUUACUAUAAUAAUGGUCGUUUUCCAAUUGAUGACACUAUCGCACAGCCAUUCUAUUGGUUAAACAUUACCUAAGUAUCAUCUACUCUACGAACCAUUUUAUUGGCUAAAUAUUAUCUAAUUUACGUGAAACUACUUUAUUGGUUAGGAAUCAUCCGAGUUAUCUUCUAAGAUAACACGCAGCCAAUGGAGCAGCUUUGUUUGUUUCUCAUUGGAAAGCCUCCUAUAGUAUCUGUUUGAUUCAGGGUGAAAAACAUCGUUAGUAAAUUCAAGGUGAGUCUUGUUGAGUGUUUUGAAAGUGUUGGUCGUUGCGAUCUCUCAGACAACGAGGUGAUAUGUACGCGUUAUUGUUUACCGGGUGAUAGCGGGCCGACUGGCGUUUUUGCCUCGUUUUGUUUUGGUAUUCUCGCACGCCGCGUAUCUUUUCGCUAAUGUAUUAUUGAGCGCCGGCGAGUCAAGUACGUAUCGCGACGCGGAUAUGCGUUUGUCAGUAUGUGAGUUACCAUUUUCGUCGUUCCUUUGAAUAUUUCGAUCGGGCUCUCGCGUCGUUAACACGUUUCCUUCCGGAUUGUAUCUACGCGAGUUGGGUGAUGGCGUUGAGAUAUUCAAUUACAAGAAGCCACUUAUUAGGCCUGUUCUUUGUAGCUGCACUACUGAACUAGUGCAAUAAGUUAGAGUGAGAAAACGUAUAUUUGUUUCACUUCAAUAUAUUGCACCAGUUCAGCAGUGCAACUACAAAGAACAGGCCUAUUGAAGGAAGGAAGGUAUCUACGCGAGUGUCAGUGCCAUGGGUGUACGUAAAGGAGAUGCAGGAGGAUACUGGAUCGGGAGACAAGGAUGGAGAACACAGAAUACUGGAGCACGGGCAGUUGUACAUUAUACAUUUCCAGGUCUGGCGGAGUUUGUGACCAUACAGUGGGUGCAAUUGCGAUGCAUGUAAACGUCGUACCGGAGGAUCCGGUUCGGACCGACCAGGGUCGGCUCGAAGAACAGCAGUAGAACGUGGCCGAUCCUGAGUUGCCGGUAAUCGGUGAGUCGAAAACAAAGACUUUAGGUGAUGGAUAUUGAUGAUUGAUAUGUACAAGAAAUCAGUGCGAUUUACUUAGCUCUCGUAGACUUUUGCAUGUACACUGAGAGAAAAAUAAUUAAUCCUACUACAAAUUGUAAUAAUUGUUUACUAAGAAUAUUUUUUUAAUUAUUUUAACAAAUUAGUAAAGUACUUAGUACGAAAAUGAGUUUCCUGAUUGUAGUUACUUCAUUAUAUACGAUCACAGU